Molecule: non-coding RNA, 106 nt
Filed under: Aotus nancymaae (Ma's night monkey)
Lineage: Eukaryota; Metazoa; Chordata; Mammalia; Primates; Aotidae
Source: RNAcentral
GGCCUCCCAAAGUACUGGGAUUACGGGUAUGAGCUACCAUGCCCAGCCCGCUUUACAAAUUUCUUUUUUCCUUCCUGCUCCCACUGCUUAACUUGAUUAGCCUAAA